GACGAACGCUGGCGGCGUGCUUAACACAUGCAAGUCGAACGGAAAGGCCCUGCUUUUGUGGGGUGCUCGAGUGGCGAACGGGUGAGUAACACGUGAGUAACCUGCCCUUGACUUUCGGAUAACUUCAGGAAACUGGGGCUAAUACCGUAUAGGAUCUCCUGCUGCAUGGUGGGGGUUGGAAAGUUUCGGCGGUUGGGGAUGGACUCGCGGCUUAUCAGCUUGUUGGUGGGGUAGUGGCUUACCAAGGCUUUGACGGGUAGCCGGCCUGAGAGGGUGACCGGCCACAUUGGGACUGAGAUACGGCCCAGAGUCCUACGGGAGGCAGCAGUGGGGAAUAUUGCACAAUGGGCGGAAGCCUGAUGCAGCAACGCCGCGUGCGGGAUGACGGCCUUCGGGUUGUAAACCGCUUUCGCCUGUGACGAAGCGGGAGUGACGGUAAUGGGUAAAGAAGCACCGGCUAACUACGUG
Molecule: ribosomal RNA, 468 nt
Filed under: uncultured bacterium
Lineage: Bacteria
Description: partial 16S ribosomal RNA
Rfam family: Bacterial small subunit ribosomal RNA
Source: RNAcentral